GACGGUAUAGCUCAGUGGUAGAGUGCAGUGCUUAGCAUGCACAAGGUCCUAGGUUUAAUUCCUGGUACUUUCA
RNAcentral lists this transfer RNA (73 nucleotides) under Camelus bactrianus (Bactrian camel). It matches the Rfam family "tRNA". From Rfam's summary of the family: Transfer RNA (tRNA) molecules are approximately 80 nucleotides in length. Their secondary structure includes four short double-helical elements and three loops (D, anti-codon, and T loops). The record is from Rfam by way of RNAcentral. RNAcentral also lists the same sequence under 1 other name. Lineage: Eukaryota; Metazoa; Chordata; Mammalia; Artiodactyla; Camelidae.